This 497-nucleotide ribosomal RNA is filed under the name uncultured bacterium. RNAcentral describes it as "partial 16S ribosomal RNA". It matches the Rfam family "Bacterial small subunit ribosomal RNA", at positions 28 to 507 of the family's 1533-position model. The record is from RNAcentral.
GAUGAACGCUGGCGGCGUGCCUAAUACAUGCAAGUCGAGCGAACGGACGCUAAGCUUGCUUUUCUGACGUUAGCGGCGGACGUGUGAGUAACACGUGGAUAACCUACCUAUAAUACUGGGAUAACUUCGGGAAACCGGAGCUUAUACCGGAUAAUAUUUUGAACCGCAUGGUUCAAAAGUGAAAGACGGUCUUGCUGUCACUUAUAGAUGGAUCCGCGCUGCAUUAGCUAGUUGGUAAGGUAACGGCUUACCAAGGCAACGAUGCAUAGCCGACCUGAGAGGGUGAUCGGCCACACUGGAACUGAGACACGGUCCAGACUACUACGGGAGGCAGCAGUAGGGAAUCUUACGCAAUGGGCGAAAGCCUGACGGAGCAACGCCGCGUGAGUGAUGAAGGUCUUGGGAUCGUAAAACUCUGUUAUUAGGGAAGAACAUAUGUGUAAGUAACUGUGCACAUCUUGACGGUAACUAAUCAGAAAGCCACGGCUAACUACGUG